UACGGGGGGGGCAAGCGUUGUUCGGAAUUACUGGGCGUAAAGGGCGCGUAGGCGGCCAUUCAAGUCGGAGGUGAAAGCCCAGGGCUCAACCCUGGAAUUGCCUUCGAUACUGUUUGGCUAGAGACCGGAAGAGGUAAGUGGAACUGCGAGUGUAGAGGUGAAAUUCGUAGAUAUUCGCAAGAACACCAGUGGCGAAGGCGGCUCACUGGCCCGGUACUGACGCUGAGGUGCGAAAGCGUGGGGAGCAAACAGG
This 253-nucleotide ribosomal RNA is filed under the name uncultured bacterium. RNAcentral's name for it is "partial 16S ribosomal RNA". It matches the Rfam family "Bacterial small subunit ribosomal RNA", at positions 524 to 776 of the family's 1533-position model. The record is from RNAcentral.